This 254-nucleotide ribosomal RNA is filed under the name uncultured bacterium. Its description in RNAcentral is "partial 16S ribosomal RNA". It matches the Rfam family "Bacterial small subunit ribosomal RNA", at positions 524 to 776 of the family's 1533-position model. The record is from RNAcentral.
UACGGGGGGAGCAAGCGUUGUUCGGAUUUCCUGGGCGUAAAGGGCGCGUAGGCGGCCACUGCAAGUCAGUUGUGAAAUCUCCGGGCUUAACCCGGAAAGGUCAACUGAUACUGCAGGGCUAGAGUGCAGAAGGGGCAACUGGAAUUCUCGGUGUAGCGGUGAAAUGCGUAGAUAUCGAGAGGAACACCUGCGGCGAAGGCGGGUUGCUGGGCUGACACUGACGCUGAGGCGCGAAAGCCAGGGGAGCGAACCGG